Molecule: ribosomal RNA, 1125 nt
Filed under: Vibrio parahaemolyticus
Lineage: Bacteria; Pseudomonadati; Pseudomonadota; Gammaproteobacteria; Vibrionales; Vibrionaceae
Description: partial 23S ribosomal RNA
Rfam family: Bacterial large subunit ribosomal RNA
Source: RNAcentral
UUUGUAUAAUGGGUCAGCGACUUAUAUUCAGUGGCAAGGUUAACCAUCUAGGGGAGCCGUAGGGAAACCGAGUCUUAACUGGGCGUUCAGUCUCUGGAUAUAGACCCGAAACCAGGUGAUCUAGCCAUGGGCAGGUUGAAGGUUGAGUAACAUCAACUGGAGGACCGAACCGACUAAUGUUGAAAAAUUAGCGGAUGACUUGUGGCUAGGGGUGAAAGGCCAAUCAAACCUGGAGAUAGCUGGUUCUCCCCGAAAGCUAUUUAGGUAGCGCCUCGGACGAAUACUACUGGGGGUAGAGCACUGUUAAGGCUAGGGGGUCAUCCCGACUUACCAACCCUUUGCAAACUCCGAAUACCAGUAAGUACUAUCCGGGAGACACACGGCGGGUGCUAACGUCCGUCGUGGAGAGGGAAACAACCCAGACCGCCAGCUAAGGUCCCAAAUUACUACUAAGUGGGAAACGAUGUGGGAAGGCUCAGACAGCCAGGAUGUUGGCUUAGAAGCAGCCAUCAUUUAAAGAAAGCGUAAUAGCUCACUGGUCGAGUCGGCCUGCGCGGAAGAUGUAACGGGGCUAAGUAGUAAACCGAAGCUGCGGCAAUGUGCUUUUGCACAUUGGGUAGGGGAGCGUUCUGUAAGCGGUUGAAGGUGUGUGGUAACGCAUGCUGGACGUAUCAGAAGUGCGAAUGCUGACAUGAGUAACGAUAAAGGGGGUGAAAAACCUCCUCGCCGGAAGACCAAGGGUUCCUGUCCAACGUUAAUCGGGGCAGGGUAAGUCGACCCCUAAGGCGAGGCCGAAAGGCGUAGUCGAUGGGAAACGGGUUAAUAUUCCCGUACUUCUUACAAUUGCGAUGGGGGGACGGAGAAGGCUAGGUGGGCCUGGCGACGGUUGUCCAGGUUCAAGUGCGUAGGCUUAAGAGUUAGGUAAAUCCGGCUCUUUUUAAGGCUGAGACACGACGUCGAGCACCUACGGGUGUGAAGUCAUUGAUGCCAUGCUUCCAGGAAAAGCCUCUAAGCUUCAGAUUGUAAGGAAUCGUACCCCAAACCGACACAGGUGGUCGGGUAGAGAAUACCAAGGCGCUUGAGAGAACUCGGGUGAAGGAACUAGGCAAAAUGGUACCGUAACUU